RNAcentral lists this ribosomal RNA (640 nucleotides) under Mycobacterium sp. Se1Pw_3084. RNAcentral's name for it is "bacterial SSU rRNA". It matches the Rfam family "Bacterial small subunit ribosomal RNA", at positions 378 to 1030 of the family's 1533-position model. Lineage: Bacteria; Bacillati; Actinomycetota; Actinomycetes; Mycobacteriales; Mycobacteriaceae. The record is from RNAcentral.
GCAGCCUGAUGCAGCGACGCCGCGUGAGGGAUGACGGCCUUCGGGUUGUAAACCUCUUUCAAUAGGGACGAAGCGCAAGUGACGGUACCUAUAGAAGAAGCACCGGCCAACUACGUGCCAGCAGCCGCGGUAAUACGUAGGGUGCGAGCGUUGUCCGGAAUUACUGGGCGUAAAGAGCUCGUAGGUGGUUUGUCGCGUUGUUCGUGAAAACUCACAGCUCAACUGUGGGCGUGCGGGCGAUACGGGCAGACUGGAGUACUGCAGGGGAGACUGGAAUUCCUGGUGUAGCGGUGGAAUGCGCAGAUAUCAGGAGGAACACCGGUGGCGAAGGCGGGUCUCUGGGCAGUAACUGACGCUGAGGAGCGAAAGCGUGGGGAGCGAACAGGAUUAGAUACCCUGGUAGUCCACGCCGUAAACGGUGGGUACUAGGUGUGGGUUUCCUUCCUUGGGAUCCGUGCCGUAGCUAACGCAUUAAGUACCCCGCCUGGGGAGUACGGCCGCAAGGCUAAAACUCAAAGAAAUUGACGGGGGCCCGCACAAGCGGCGGAGCAUGUGGAUUAAUUCGAUGCAACGCGAAGAACCUUACCUGGGUUUGACAUGCACAGGACGUGCCUAGAGAUAGGUAUUCCCUUGUGGCCUG